AUUGAACGCUGGCGGCAUGCCUUACACAUGCAAGUCGAACGGUAACAGGUCUUCGGAUGCUGACGAGUGGCGAACGGGUGAGUAAUACAUCGGAACGUGCCUAGUAGUGGGGGAUAACUACUCGAAAGAGUGGCUAAUACCGCAUGAGAUCUACGGAUGAAAGCAGGGGAUCGCAAGACCUUGUGCUACUAGAGCGGCUGAUGGCAGAUUAGGUAGUUGGUGGGAUAAAAGCUUACCAAGCCGACGAUCUGUAGCUGGUCUGAGAGGACGAUCAGCCACACUGGGACUGAGACACGGCCCAGACUCCUACGGGAGGCAGCAGUGGGGAAUUUUGGACAAUGGGCGAAAGCCUGAUCCAGCAAUGCCGCGUGCAGGAUGAAGGCCUUCGGGUUGUAAACUGCUUUGUACGGAACGAAAGCUUCGGGUUAAUACCCUGGAGCCAUGACGGUACCGUAAGAAUAAGCACCGGCUAACUACGUGCC
Molecule: ribosomal RNA, 482 nt
Filed under: uncultured bacterium
Lineage: Bacteria
Description: bacterial SSU rRNA
Rfam family: Bacterial small subunit ribosomal RNA
Source: RNAcentral